AAUUUUGGACAAUGGGGGAAACCCUGACCCAGCCAUCCCGCGUGUAUGAUGAAGGCCUUCUGUUUGUAAAGUACUUUUGGUAGAGAAGAAAAGGUACCUCCUAAUACGAGGUACUGCUGACGGUAUCUGCAGAAUAAGCACCGGCUAACUCACUUCCAGCAGCCGCGGUAAUGCGUAGGGUGCAAGCGUUAAUCGGAAUUACUGGGCGUAAAGCGUGUGUAGGCGGUUCGGAAAGAAAGAUGUGAAAUCCCAGGGCUCAACCUUGGAACUGCAUUUUUAACUGCAGAGCUAGAGUAUGUCAGAGGGGGGUAGAAUUCCACGUGUAGCAGUGAAAUGCGUAGAUAUGUGGAGGAAUACCGAUGGCGAAGGCAGCCCCCUGGGAUAAUACUGACGCUCAGACACGAAAGCGUGGGGAGCAAAC
This 421-nucleotide ribosomal RNA is filed under the name uncultured bacterium. Its description in RNAcentral is "partial 16S ribosomal RNA". It matches the Rfam family "Bacterial small subunit ribosomal RNA", at positions 360 to 773 of the family's 1533-position model. The record is from RNAcentral.